GGGGUUGUGGCUCAGUGAUAGAGCACUUACCUAGCAAGUGUGAGGCCCUGGAUUCAAUCCUCAGCACCACA
Molecule: transfer RNA, 71 nt
Filed under: Marmota monax (woodchuck)
Lineage: Eukaryota; Metazoa; Chordata; Mammalia; Rodentia; Sciuridae
Description: tRNA.Ala
Rfam family: tRNA
About the family: Transfer RNA (tRNA) molecules are approximately 80 nucleotides in length.
Source: RNAcentral